GAUACUGGUCAUCUUGAGUUGUAUUGAAGUAGGCGGAAUAUGUAGUGUAGCGGUGAAAUGCAUAGAUAUUACAUAGAACACCAAUUGCGAAGGCAGCUUACUAAGUACUAACUGACGCUGAUGGACGAAAGCGUGGGUAGCGAACAGGAUUAGAUACCCUGGUAGUCCACGCCGUAAACGAUGGAUACUAGCUGUUCGGGGCCUUGAGCUCUGAGCGGCUAAGCGAAAGUGAUAAGUAUCCCCCUGGGGAGACGUUCGAAGAAUGAAACUCAAGGAAUUGACGGG
Molecule: ribosomal RNA, 285 nt
Filed under: uncultured bacterium
Lineage: Bacteria
Description: partial 16S ribosomal RNA
Rfam family: Bacterial small subunit ribosomal RNA
Source: RNAcentral